CAGCAGCCGCGGUAAUACGUAGGUCCCGAGCGUUGUCCGGAUUUAUUGGGCGUAAAGCGAGCGCAGGCGGUUAGAUAAGUCUGAAGUUAAAGGCUGUGGCUUAACCAUAGUACGCUUUGGAAACUGUUUAACUUGAGUGCAAGAGGGGAGAGUGGAAUUCCAUGUGUAGCGGUGAGAUGCGUAGAUAUAUGGAGGAACACCGGUGGCGAAAGCGGCUCUCUGGCUUGUAACUGACGCUGAGGCUCGAAAGCGUGGGGAGCAAACAGGAUUAGAGACCCCCGUAGUCCCUGUCUCUUAUACC
This 301-nucleotide ribosomal RNA is filed under the name uncultured bacterium. RNAcentral describes it as "partial 16S ribosomal RNA". It matches the Rfam family "Bacterial small subunit ribosomal RNA", at positions 509 to 808 of the family's 1533-position model. The record is from RNAcentral.